Molecule: ribosomal RNA, 441 nt
Filed under: uncultured bacterium
Lineage: Bacteria
Description: partial 16S ribosomal RNA
Rfam family: Bacterial small subunit ribosomal RNA
Source: RNAcentral
CCUACGGGGGGCAGCAGUGGGGAAUAUUGCACAAUGGGGGAAACCCUGAUGCAGCGACGCCGCGUGGGUGACGAAGUAUUUCGGUAUGUAAAGCCCUAUCAGCAGGGAAGAAGAUGACAGUACCUGACCAAGAAGCCCCGGCUAACUACGUGCCAGCAGCCGCGGUAAUACGUAGGGGGCAAGCGUUAUCCGGAUUGACUGGGUGUAAAGGGAGCGUAGGUGGCAUGGCAAGCCAGAAGUGAAAACCCGGGGCUUAACCCCGCGGAUUGCUUUUGGAACUGUCAGGCUGGAGUGCAGGAGGGGCAGGCGGAAUUCCUGGUGUAGCGGUGAAAUGCGUAGAUAUCAGGAGGAACACCGGUGGCGAAGGCGGCCUGCUGGACUGUAACUGACACUGAGGCUCGAAAGCGUGGGGAGCAAACAGGAUUAGAUACCCCGGUAGUC